AGAAUGAACGCUGGCGGCGUGCUUAACACAUGCAAGUCGAACGGAAUCCAAGGAGCUUGCUCUGGAAGAUUUAGUGGCGAACGGGUGAGUAUCACGUGAGCAACCUGCCCCGAAGACUGGGAUAACACCGGGAAACCGGUGCUAAUACCGGAUACCUUCCAAUGACCGCAUGGUCGAUGGAAGAAAUGUUUUUCGCUUCGGGAGGGGCUCGCGGUCCAUCAGCUUGUUGGCGGGGUAACGGCCACCAAGGCUUCGACGGAUAGCUGGUCUGAGAGGACGAUCAGCCACACUGGAACUGAGACACGGUCCAGACUCCUACGGGAGGCAGCAGUGGGGAAUCUUGCGCAAUGGACGAAAGUCUGACGCAGCAACGCCGCGUGAGGGGCGAAGGUUUUCUGAAUUGUAAACCUCUUUCGACAGGGACGAUAAUGACGGUACCUGUAGAAGAGCACCGGCAACUAUGCGCCAGCAGCCGCGGU
This 479-nucleotide ribosomal RNA is filed under the name uncultured bacterium. RNAcentral describes it as "SSU rRNA". It matches the Rfam family "Bacterial small subunit ribosomal RNA", at positions 26 to 521 of the family's 1533-position model. The record is from RNAcentral.